Molecule: small nucleolar RNA, 119 nt
Organism: Arabidopsis thaliana (thale cress)
Lineage: Eukaryota; Viridiplantae; Streptophyta; Magnoliopsida; Brassicales; Brassicaceae
Rfam family: Small nucleolar RNA snoR9
About the family: snoR9 is a member of the C/D class of snoRNA which contain the C (UGAUGA) and D (CUGA) box motifs. Most of the members of the box C/D family function in directing site-specific 2'-O-methylation of substrate RNAs.
Source: Rfam
CUGUUUGAAAUGGAGAAUAGUUUCGAAGCCAUCAUCUCUUUCAUCAGGAGCAACAUAAGGGAGACGGCCGAGUUAAAGAAGCAAGGGACGUUUCGUAUUUCCGUUGACGAUGCUGACAU